CUUCAAUUGAAGAGUUUGAUCAUGGCUCAGAUUGAACGCUGGCGGCAGGCUUAACACAUGCAAGUCGAACGGUAACAGGAGAGAGCUUGCUCUCUUGCUGACGAGUGGCGGACGGGUGAGUAAUGCUUGGGAAUCUGCCUAUAGAUGGGGGAUAACCAUUGGAAACGAUGGCUAAUACCGCGUAAUAUCGAGAGAUUAUAGAGUGCUAUUUGGUACUUGUCUAUAGAUGAGCCCAAGUGAGAUUAGCUAGUUGGUGAGGUAAUGGCUCACCAAGGCGACGAUCUCUAGCUGGUUUGAGAGAAUGACCAGCCACACUGGAACUGAGACACGGUCCAGACUUCUACGGAAGGCAGCAGUGGGGAAUAUUGGACAAUGGGGGCAACCCUGAUCCAGCCAUGCCGCGUGUAUGAAGAAGGCCUUAGGGUUGUAAAGUACUUUCGGUAAUGAGGAAGGUUGAUAUUGAAGGAUAUUGACUUGACGUUAGUUACAGAAGAAGCACCGGCUAACUCCGUGCCAGCAGCCGCGGUAAUACGGAGGGUGCGAGCGUUAAUCGGAAUUACUGGGCGUAAAGGGCACGCAGGCGGAUUGGCAAGUUAGAUGUGAAAGCCCCGAGCUUAACUUGGGAAUAGCAUUUAAAACUACUAAUCUAGAGUUGUUUAGGGAGGGGUAGAAUUUCUCGUGUAACAGUGAAAUGUGUAGAGAUGAGAAGGAAUACCGAAGGCGAAGGCAGCCCCUUGGGAACAAACUGACGCUCAUGUGCGAAAGCGUGGGGAGCAAACAGGAUUAGAUACCCUGGUAGUCCACGCCGUAAACGAUCUCGAUUUGGAGGCUGGAGCUUUAUGUUUUGGCUUUCGUAGCUAACGCGUUAAAUCGAGCGCCUGGGGAGUACGGCCGCAAGGUUAAAACUCAAAUGAAUUGACGGGGGCCCGCACAAGCGGUGGAGCAUGUGGUUUAAUUCGACGCAACGCGUAGAACCUUACCUACUCUUGACAUCUAGAGAAUCCUUGAGAGAUCGAGGAGUGCCUUCGGGAGCUCUAAGACAGGUGCUGCAUGGCUGUCGUCAGCUCGUGUUGUGAAAUGUUGGGUUAAGUCUCGCAACGAGCGCAACCCCCAUCUUUAGUUGCUACAUUAAGUUGAGAACUCUAAAGAGACUGCCGGUGAUAAGCCGGAGGAAGGUGGGGAUGACGUCAAGUCAUCAUGGCCCUUAUGAGUAGGGCUACACACGUGCUACAAUGGUUUAUACAGAGGGUUGCGAGACGGCGACGUUAAGCUAAUCCCUUAAAGUAAAUCUAAGUCCGGAUUGUAGUCUGCAACUCGACUACAUGAAGUCGGAAUCGCUAGUAAUCGCAAAUCAGAAUGUUGCGGUGAAUACGUUCCCGGGCCUUGUACACACCGCCCGUCAAACCAUGGGAGUGGUUUGUACCAGAAGUAGAUAGCUUAACCUUCGGGAGGGCGUUUACCACGGUAUGAAUCGUGACUGGGGUUAAGUCGUAACAAGGUAACCGUAGGGGAACCUGCGGUUGGAUUACCUCCUUAUA
RNAcentral lists this ribosomal RNA (1538 nucleotides) under Psittacicella gerlachiana. RNAcentral describes it as "bacterial SSU rRNA". It matches the Rfam family "Bacterial small subunit ribosomal RNA". The record is from RNAcentral. Lineage: Bacteria; Pseudomonadati; Pseudomonadota; Gammaproteobacteria; Pasteurellales; Psittacicellaceae.